GUUGGUCAUGUUCAUCUCAACACCUUUUCAACUUUACAUUACAGGCCAAAGAAAUUCAUCAGUUAGUCAUUCAUCUUUGCACUACAGGCCAAAGAUAUUUAGUAAUAUCAUCAUUUAGGACUGAGGAUGAUGAAAAAUAUUUUAAAGAAAACGAAUCCAGUGAGACAGAAGGACAAAUAGUAGGGAUUCAUAUAACAGUUUAUCCAAGAUCAAUAAUACUCCAUAAUAACCAAUUUUGAAGCAAAAUUCAAGAAUAAAGAUCAAAACAUGUAUACAAUCAAAGAUAGUAACCAUAAUAGACAUCUUGGAC
This 310-nucleotide long non-coding RNA is filed under the name Panax ginseng (ginseng). Its description in RNAcentral is "long non-coding RNA (PGIN_LNC015615)". The record is from RNAcentral. Lineage: Eukaryota; Viridiplantae; Streptophyta; Magnoliopsida; Apiales; Araliaceae.